CCUACGGGUGGCAGCAGUGAGGAAUAUUGGUCAAUGGACGCGAGUCUGAACCAGCCAAGUAGCGUGAAGGAUGACUGCCCUAUGGGUUGUAAACUUCUUUUAUAAAGGAAUAAAACGAGGCACGUGUGCCUUUUUGCAUGUACUUUAUGAAUAAGGAUCGGCUAACUCCGUGCCAGCAGCCGCGGUAAUACGGAGGAUCCGAGCGUUAUCCUGAUUUAUUGGGUUUAAAGGGUGCGUCGGCGGACGCUUAAGUCAGCGGGAAAAUUGCGGGGCUAAACCUCGUCGAGCCGUUGAACCUGGGUGCCGUGAGUGUGGGAGAGGGACGCGGAAUGCGAGGUGUAGCGGUGAAAUGCAUAGAGAUCACGAAGAACUCCGAUGGCGAAGGCAGCGUACCGG
This 396-nucleotide ribosomal RNA is filed under the name uncultured bacterium. RNAcentral describes it as "partial 16S ribosomal RNA". It matches the Rfam family "Bacterial small subunit ribosomal RNA", at positions 338 to 732 of the family's 1533-position model. The record is from RNAcentral.